Molecule: long non-coding RNA, 407 nt
Organism: Balaenoptera musculus (blue whale)
Lineage: Eukaryota; Metazoa; Chordata; Mammalia; Artiodactyla; Balaenopteridae
Exons: 3
Source: RefSeq, a predicted model, not a curated record
GCCACCCCCCGCCUCUGCAGGAGACCCCCCAACACUAGCAGCUAUGAAGUAAUCCUUGAAGGCCCUGGCAGCACAGCUGAAGGCAUUCCCAACAACUGAGGCAACAAGACCUUCGUUGAAAGGUAGUCUGGGUGGUACAUCACAGUGUGUAUCACACUUCAAUCUACCAGCCUCCUUCCUGUCCUCAUUUCUUUCCUUACUCAGCUUAUAUGCCAUUGUUCAUCACUCCAAUUAUACUCAAGAAUGCAGACAUGACAGAUGGCGCUGGAGCAGCCAUCUUGAAUCAUGAUACGUCAUUGGCCCAUGUGUGGAAGCUGUGUGUUGAGAAAUGCAGAACUACAUGGUGAAAGAACUCUGGAUGCCAAUGAUUGUGGAGCCUUCACUAACUCUGGACUUCCUAUGUGUAC